RNAcentral lists this ribosomal RNA (494 nucleotides) under uncultured bacterium. RNAcentral's name for it is "partial 16S ribosomal RNA". It matches the Rfam family "Bacterial small subunit ribosomal RNA", at positions 28 to 507 of the family's 1533-position model. The record is from RNAcentral.
GACGAACGCUGGCGGCGUGCUUAACACAUGCAAGUCGAACGGAAAGGCCUGUCCUUCCUUGUGUUGGACGGGUACUCGAGUGGCGAACGGGUGAGUAACACGUGAGUGAUCUGCCCCCAACUUGGGUAUAAGCCUGGGAAACUGGGUCUAAUUCCCGAUAGGACUGCAGGGUGGUGCCUGUGGUGGAAAACGAUUUUCUAGUGGUUGGGGAUGAGCUCGCGGCCUAUCAGCUUGUUGGUGGGGUAAUGGCCUACCAAGGCGGCGACGGGUAGCCGGCCUGAGAGGGUGGACGGCCACAUUGGGACUGAGAUACGGCCCAGACUCCUACGGGAGGCAGCAGUGGGGAAGAUUGCACAAUGGGCGGAAGCCUGAUGCAGCGACGCCGCGUGGGGGAUGACGGCCUUCGGGUUGUAAACUCCUUUCGACCGCGAGGAAGCCGCCUGGUUGGAAGGGUGGUGACGGUAGUGGUAGAAGAAGCACCGGCUAACUACGUG